UACGGAGGGUGCGAGCGUUGUCCGGAAUCACUGGGCGUAAAGGGCGCGUAGGUGGCGCGAGGAGUCUGUGGUGAAAGCCCGAGGCUCAACUUCGGGUCGGCCGCGGAUACUCUCGUGCUGGAGGGUGGUAGAGGCCAAUGGAAUUCCGGGUGUAGCGGUGGAAUGCGUAGAGAUCCGGAAGAACACCGGUGGCGAAGGCGGUUGGCUGGGACGGUACUGACGCUGAGACGCGAAAGCGUGGGGAGCGAA
Molecule: ribosomal RNA, 249 nt
Filed under: uncultured bacterium
Lineage: Bacteria
Description: partial 16S ribosomal RNA
Rfam family: Bacterial small subunit ribosomal RNA
Source: RNAcentral